GUUCUACCUUGACGAAUUGUAGUUUAAAGAAGUGUUUUCUGUUAGAGGAGUAGCAAAAGUUCCUUGGAAUGGGACAUCAUAGAGGGUGAGAAUCCCGUAUUUGGUUACUUCUUCUAGCUUUGUGAUACACUUUCAAAGAGUCGGAUUGUUUGGGAAUGCAGUCCAAAAUGGGUGGUAAAUUUCAUCUAAAGCUAAAUAUUGGCGAGAGACCGAUAGCGAACAAGUACCGUGAGGGAAAGAUGAAAAGAACUUUGAAAAGAGAGUUAAACAGUACGUGAAAUUGUCAAAAGGGAAGCGUUUGACACCAGUGUUGUUUUUCCGAAAAUCAAUUAAGAACGGCUUGAUUUUGUGUUGUAUUGACCUUAUCAGCUUUCUUCACUCUUUUUCGAGUCUUUCUU
Molecule: ribosomal RNA, 398 nt
Filed under: uncultured Neocallimastigomycetes
Lineage: Eukaryota; Fungi; Neocallimastigomycota; Neocallimastigomycetes
Description: eukaryotic LSU rRNA
Rfam family: Eukaryotic large subunit ribosomal RNA
Source: RNAcentral